UCAUAUAAGACGAGAAGACCCCAUGGAGCUUCAAACCCAACUACACCCCUAGCUCUUAUAGCCCCACAACCCCCCUAGGCGCCGUGUGCUUGGUUUUAGGUUGGGGCGACCGCGGAGUACAAUAAAACCUCCACAAUGAAUGGGAACACCCCCUUAUCUGAGGGCCACACCCCCUAAGAAUUAGAACACUAACAUAAAAUGAUCCAUUACUUGAUCAAUGAACCAAGUUACCCUGGGGAUAACAGCGCAAUCCAUUUCAAGAGCCCCUAUCGACAAAU
This 278-nucleotide ribosomal RNA is filed under the name Mantidactylus melanopleura. Its description in RNAcentral is "partial 16S ribosomal RNA". Lineage: Eukaryota; Metazoa; Chordata; Amphibia; Anura; Mantellidae. The record is from RNAcentral.